GAUUAUGGGGUGUAGGGACUGAGGCCCGCGCGGGAAGGAGGGAUUGCUGCGCAGGCGUGGGUGGCCGGUAUCGCCCGCUGGACCUUAGCUGGUGGGUGGCCCUGGAGCCACAGACGCGGAGCUGAAGUUGAAGCAGCGGUGGAGGACAUUCUCCUGAGAUGAACUUCUCUGUUAUAGUCUGGUGGCUUUGAUGACUAACUACACGGCUACGAUUCCAAGCCCUGUUUGCAGCCCAGACCCUCUCUUGAUGUAUAGAAUGGUUAUCAACUGGACAUCCCUCCUCCCAGAUAUUAUGUAGACACUUCAAAAUAUCUAAACUCAGAGCACAGGCUCCGGACGCGCAGGCUCAGCGGCCAUGGCUCAGACGGGC
Long non-coding RNA from Aethalodelphis obliquidens (Pacific white-sided dolphin), 370 nucleotides. RefSeq lists it as uncharacterized. The record is from RefSeq and is a predicted model, not a curated record. NCBI's taxonomy places the organism in Eukaryota, Metazoa, Chordata, Mammalia, Artiodactyla, Delphinidae. The transcript has 3 exons.